UGCCUCUUAUAUCAGAAUAUUAGACUUUAUGGGAUAAUAGAACUUACAUAGAAAAAAGUCAGUGAUGCCAUCCGCGAUCUUUGGAAUCAAUAUGCCUACAAUUAUAAGAAGAAAUCAAAUUGGAUGCUCUCCUAGCUAUCCAUGAGUAGCGUCUUGGUUUACAAAUCUCAACUCCAAGUAUUCCCAACGAAGAGGACUUCAAAAGCUCUCUCGGAUGACUUAAGGAU
This 227-nucleotide long non-coding RNA is filed under the name Elaeis guineensis (African oil palm). RNAcentral describes it as "long non-coding RNA (EGUI_LNC053193)". Lineage: Eukaryota; Viridiplantae; Streptophyta; Magnoliopsida; Arecales; Arecaceae. The record is from RNAcentral.